GAACGCUGAGUACAGGAUUUCUUUGAUGAGGAAUUUUGAUAUAUCGCCUGACACUACAAGAAUGUCGGAGUUUCCUGUAAACUAUGGGGUUUCAGAGGUGAAGCAGGAGAGAGUAUGCGAAGCUGGUGAAGGUGGUGAUGGCGGUGGUGGUGGGGGUGGUGGUGUAGAAGAUUUGGAGAAAUUGAAUAUUCACAAUUUAGGGGAUUUGUCUCCAGAAGCAACAGGUCAUAUUCAGCAACUAGAAUUGGAGUUGUCUACCCUCAAGCAGGUGAGGAUUACAUCUUUUGCAUUUCCUUUUUGCUUAGAGAAGUUUGAUCGAACAACAUGACGUGCAUCAUUACACUUUCUGAAAUAAUUGAUCAUGAACCUACUGAGAUUUUUUUUGUAAAUUCUCUUAGUUCAAUAAAGCUUCCUUGACUAUUUGAAGUGUGAAGUUAGUUAAAGAGGAGGUGCAUUGUGGAGCAACUAGCUGAGCGACCUUUAUAUCGUUACCAGUUAGAUAAAAGCCAUUUUGGUUUGUUUUCAUCAACCUGUUAAUUGGUGUCGACUGAAUAAUGAGUGAUCAAAAUAGUAUUAAGUUGCUGAGAGUAACAUUGACAGUUGUUCAGAAGAACUCUGGAGACUAACUACCCUGUUCAGACUGAGUUGUAACCUAUACAGUUGAUCAAAUAGAAAAGAUUGAGUUCAUAUGUAGCCAAGAAUGUUGGUUGGCAUAAUACUGAUCAGAAUUAUCUGCCACUGGUAAUGUUGCUUAUAAGCUCAAAUAAACUUGGUAUUAUUGACAUCAUGCCAGAAAAUCCGUGCCUAUGUAUUUUUCCUGGACAUCGAAAUCUGUAAUUCACUUCUGAUUUGGCCUUUUCAGUGGUGUGGCACUACAUAUGAUCCUUAAAGUGGAUUAUGAUUUAUAAACUGAAUGAUAUUUUGCUUGAUUAUUUAUAUAAUGUCCUGAUUGGCCUCUAUUUUGUCUUCCAACUUCUUUUUUUCAUUUACUUUAUAUUAUUUAUGCUUGGAAGCUUGUUCAUUAUGACCCAUCUUUGAUCUGCCUUGAAAUUUAAGAUGCACAAGAUAAAAAUCAAGUGGUCUUCCCAGAACCUAAUUGGUUUAUGACACCACUUUUUUUUUGGGGGGGGGGGGGGGGGGGGGGGGGUGUUUUUCUNNNNNNNNNNNNNNNNNNNNNNNNNNNNNNNNNNNNNAGAUUUUACUAUCAGUUUGGAUUUUUAGGUAUCUGUCCUUUAAGAUAUCUGUGGGAUUUGAUGAAUGACCCAUGUCAUUCGUAGUUUGGUAACAUAUUGUAAAUUUUCUAGAUAUAUUUUUUCAAAAUUUUAUUUGUGACGUACUUUUAUAUUUGAUUUUUACGCUAAACCAUAAAUUGAAAAUGUAUAUGGCAUUAGGUUACAACGAUUCUCUUUCUGAUGUUGAUGUGAAGACUUUGCCUACUCUAUGCUAUGUGUGUUCUCACUGUAUCUUGACUCAGGAGCUUCAUGCCCAGAAACAGGAAAAUUUGCAAAUGGAGCAUAUGAAAAAGAGUAACAACAAUCUGUUAGAGUACUUGAGGUCCUUGGACUCUGAGAUGGUAAUGACGUCAUUUCUUCCCAUUGUGGAUAAAUACAUUAUGCUUUAUUUCAUUUUUUUAUAAAUCUUGAUAUGGAAAAUUUGCUUCAGGUAAUUGAACUAUCUAAACCGUCAUCACACGAAGUGGAGGAAAUUAUCCAUCAACUUGCUCAAAAUAUAUUGCAGACAUUUUUCAAAGACGAGAUAGUGUCUGAUGACAAUGGAGACUCAUCUUUAAGGAGUACUGAAAACUACCAAAAUAUUGAUAACAAACUUUGUGAUAUCAUUGGGACUUCGAGGGAUUAUUUGGCCAAGCUGCUUUUCUGGUUAGUGUGAUGCCAUCUUUGGCUUCUCUUACUGUGGUUAUUAAUUUGUUAUCAUAUUAUGCAAUUUGCAGAUGAUAUUAAUGGGACAUAAUGCAUUUGACCCAAAAAAUAAUAAUAAUAAUAAAUAAAUAAAUGCAAUAGAUCUAUAUCUUCUAUUUGUUGCUUUUAUUUCCCUUCUCAAUUCUAAUAAAUGGACCUCUUUUACUCUAGGUGUAUGUUACUAGGCCAUCAUUUAAGAGGACUGGAGAACAGAUUGCAUCUAAGUUGCGCCGUCGGUUUAUUGUAAGCGGAUGAAGUAGAAAGAGGGAUGUAUAUUCUUCCUCACCUUUCUCUGUCUUUCUACAUUUUUUUCCCCUUUCAUAUGUUUAUAUCACUUUUGUUUAUCACAAAAAAUUAAAUAUGGAUAAAUUCCUUUCGAUAAAUGACUUUCUUGUAGAAUAUCGAUGAAUGGAAAUAUUUCUAAGAUGUGAAACUUGUCCUCCUUGCCUAACCAUCAUUUUUUUCAUUUAACAUUCAUGUUGAUUGUUCAUAAUGUUGAAGACAUGACAGUGACUUUUUUUUAUUUUUCCUUUUAUUUCUUAUGGGGUAUGAACAUUUCUUUCAUUAUUGCCAAAUUCGGACAUCCAUUACGGGGUUGCUUGAUAUAGUCUGUGUGUAUCAACAUCAGAUUAGAUCUGGUGAUACUUGGUUAUGAAUCAUGAUUGAAUCCUGGUAUUUUGGUCUGUUAUAAAAACAGGUCCAGCUUUCUGGUUUGAUCGAAAAAACUGAAAAUCAAGUAGUAGGGAGUUAUAUUUGAUUUUUGACAAUGACCAUUUAUAUCAUGGUAUAUGGCUAUGUUAUAAAAAUCGAAUCAGUCCAGUUAAUUCGAUCUGGUAACGGGACUACAAUCAAGUUCAAUGUGUGGGCUAAGGACUAAAACAUUGGUAUUUGUUACUUUAUUUGAAAGGGUAGUCUAUGGACAAUUGGCUUCAAAAUAAUGAUAUUUGUCAUCACUAUAUUGAUGUGUGUGGUACCAAUGCAUUGUUCAAUAAACAAGAAUGCAUUCCGACUUUAUUGAAUAUGAAUAUUGUGAUAUUAAUCCAAUUGCUACAUAAUGUUUGUCACCAAUGAUAAUAUAUAGAAAAAUUUGCGUAGAUGGUCCCUUUGCUGGAAUUGAGUUUGUCUAAGCUUUUUAAAUGUGACUCAUAUGGUCCCAAACCUUUUCAUCUUUGACGUAAAUGAUCUUUUGAGCGGAAUCCAUUCAAAAGGGCUAUAUUUGAAGGAACAAUUUCGUUAAAUAUAUUCCUCAACUCAAAAAAAAAAAAAAAAAAAAAAAAAAAAAAAAAAAUUGGAAAGACAGUAGUUCAUCUUCUUUCAUCUACGCCUCCAACACAAUCCCACUGACCGGGACCCACACAAUGCCACACCACACCACUGAACGUUAAAAAAUUCCAGAAAGGAAUUUCAGUCGGCUGUCCAAUUGAACGGUGAUUUUGAGGGGGAAAGUUUUGAUUAUUGUGAUUUUUUGAAUGUAAGCAUUUUCAUUGGCUCUGUCUGCUUUUCUAGUUCAGAUAUAUGUUCUUGAGGCCUUUGUUGAAACUUAUAUGCAGCCAACGAGAAAAGGGGUAAGCAGUCGAGAUAAAAGUCGAUCACCCAAACAUGUGGAUCAUCAUUUCCCUGAUAUACUCAAAUCUAUGAGAGUUGCAAUGGCAUGAGAGGCGAACCCCAAUACAAGGAUGAUUUUAGUGUUGAUUAGAGAACUUGUUCGAGAUGAAGAGUCAAUCAAUCAUUCAAAAAGAUAUUGUACUGAAGAUCUCCUAAAAGAGAUAAAAGUAAAAAAUUUCUUUCACAUUAGGAGGUUGAUCACCUCAAAUUUACUCUACAAUGGGUAAUAGCAUCGCAUCUAGGCCAUAGAGGGUGGACCUCUACAUGGCACAUCGAUUGAUUGAAUUGACACAUCAUUUCGACUAUCUAUGUUCAUGGCCUCAAUUAGGCCCCAAGUAGAAUAAUAAUAUGAAGUACGAACCUGAUUAAGCUUCUUGUUGGCUAUCAUGUAGCCGAUCCUUAGAACCUCGUUGAAUGGGGCAUAACCCUAAUACGUUUAUAUUUACUUGGUGAACUUUUUUAUUGCUAGCUUUAUUAUGAAACUACAAUUGUCAUAUUUAUAAGUUUAAUAAUUUUCAGACUCAAGUUUUCGGGUGGUGGUAAUGAAUGGGUGUGGCGUGCCAACGGCGGUAGUGCAUGGUGAUGAUGCUUUGGAAGAACAUUAACUUUUGAUCAUUUUGUUUUUAAUUUUUUUCCUAAAUUUAAUUUUUUUUAACUUUUUUUUUCAGCUUUUAAGUGAAAAAAGGGGGGCGGGGGUUACUAGAUGAAACUACCCCCCUUGAAAUUAAAACAAACUAUUCUUUAGGAUGGAUUCUAUCCAAAAGGACUAUUUAAGCCAAAAAUAAAUAAAUAUAAAAAUAAAAAUUGAAACCAUUAGUGUCAUAUUUGAAAGAUUUGAACCAAAAAUGCAAUUUGAACAAAGAUUUGAAACCAUUUGCUCCAACUUCCUAAUAAAUAACCUUAUUCUUGGUUUCAACCCAACCUGCUCGAUGGAGAAAUUAUUAUUUUGCUUAUACUUGCAGUUGUGAAUUAGAGAAGUUUGCCCAAACUGAAGUUGCAUAAUUGAUUUUUGGGCACUGCAUAUUACUUACUACAGUAUAAGAAAUUCAAAAUAUAUGUGAAAAAAUAGUUUCUUUAAACUAAUGCCUGAGACUUUCCUCUCUUUUCUCUAUCCAAUUCUCACUGUUUUCACUUCAAAUACCCUUUAAAUUAUUAGAAUACGCCCAAAAUAAAUAAGUUAAAAAGGAUGUAAUACUGUUCAUGAAACAUAAACCCAGUAGACAUAUACCAGUAAGAACAUGAGUCAGGAUUUAAGCUCUGUACAAAGCUAAUAGAACAUAAUGGAAUUUUAAAGUCUGAACAUUCUGCUAUACUAUUUUUCCCUUUCCCAUCACUAUCUCUAACAUAUUCUAUAGCAAAGCCAGUGCCAGAAACUCCAUUUCUGGGAAAAUACGGACUAAUAGAUAUUACAAAAUAAAACAGCAGGCAAUUUUUUGCCCAUGUAAGCACUCUAAACGAACAAACAUGAUUCUACAAUUGAGAGUAUGGGCCACUGCUAUAUACAGAUGAAUGGAGCACGUACCAUUUAGAUAAGCUCACAAGAUACUACAAUCCCUACAAUCCCGAGCAACUCUGUUCCCUUGGGGUUAACGGGGCUUGUUGAGAAGUAAUGAACUGCUCAGUAAUGUCUCGAGCAGAACAAAUGACAGUACACUCUAACAAAGAGAAAAAGAGAGAGCAAGUAAAUAGUUGAAUCUUUUAAUGGGAGAAAGGAUUAACAUUUCUACCUUUUUAAGAAAAAAGAAAGUUAUUUUUUCUAAAGUAGUUCUUAAUUUGCAGUUAAAAUAAGUACUUGUUUCCAUUUUAACCAAUAAAAAGUUGAUUAUUGUGUAGCUUUACUUUUUAAGCCUCAAAACUCAGUAAGGAAGAUAUAUAAAUACCUUGAUAAAAUGGCCAGUUUAUAUCAUAUAGAGGUGGUCAAAAAUUGGUGAAAUCGUAAUACCCUAGCCUGGUUAUUGCAAGACGAUCUGUCUCCCAAUCGGUUUCUUUUCCUUCCCAAACGAAUAAAAAAGUCCUCCGUGUCCAGGACAUAAGAGAUCUGAAAGCAAAUUAACAAAAUUUUCCAUGAAAGAUAUAGAUCAUCACUUAAUCUGGGACACAUAAUUUAGCAUAAUCUCGUGGCUCCGAGCAAUGAGAAUCAGACUAGCAAAUUCAACAAGCAACACCAAUAUCAACAAAUGAAAUUAGUACAAGAUAUGAGUACUUGUGAUUGUUUAACAGGCAAUAACAACGGGAGCUUAUUGAAAUCAACAGGUAUAGUGAAGAAUUUAUUGAACUAGAAAUUACCCAUAAGAGAAAAAUGCGCGGCUAAUAGGAUUUUAGUGGAGGUUCUCUGUGUGUGUGUGUGUGUGUGUGUGUGUGUGAGUGUGAGAGAGAGAGAGAGAGAGAGAACCUUGGAUGAGUUUGAUGCCAUCUUACAUUCCAAACCAUUAAUCAACAGAACAUUUUUGGCAGCCAUACACACAGCAGAAGAUUCAUCGAGAUUGUCAUAUUUCUGCAUAUUUCUGCACGCGUUAUGAACGAAGUAAACACCCCAUUGCUCAAUCAAAAUUGAUGCAAUUAAUCAGUUUUCGUGUUGAUCAUGAUCAGUAAUUUUUUUUUUCAUAAAAAAAAAAUUAUGCAACUAUAAUAAAAGGUUGCAAAACACUUUCCAAAGGAGAAGAUUAUUUUCUUUAUCAAACAUAUGCAGACUCAAUCACGACCCUAUGAUAAGAAUAAUGAUGAAUCCCUUUGUCUCUUAUUUUGUCUAGUGGUUUAGGACGUCUCUCUUUAAGGGAGGCAGUGGAGAUCAAUUUCGCUAUGAGUUGUUCAUGUAUUACCGAUAAGCCUAAAUUGGACGUCCUUGUUGUUCUAAUAAAGAGAAGAACCUAUGAUUAGUUUUUUAAGAAAUUUUGAAAUGAACAAUUUCAAUGUUAAUGACACCGUAAGGGUAUUAAAUAUAUAGAAUUGGGAUAAUCAUAGAAUAAAAUGAAAUAGAGUCACUUUAAGGUUUCCUUUGAAAUGAGACAUAGAGGGGAGCCACUGCAAAGAGGUUGAAAACUAGCUUGCUAUUCUAAAAAUAAAUUUGGGGACCAAUUCUGCAAUUUUUCUAAAUAUUUGAUAUAAAGCCCAUGUUUGAGCUCCAUUCAAAUUUUAAUGCAUUUUUCUUUUUCUUCUUUUUAACUAUACAUUUUUCAAUAAAAUAAUAUUACACGUAAAUUAAAAAAAAUUAAAACCACAUUUUUCAAAUAAUUAUUAUUCCAAAUCAUAUUUUGCUUUAAAACCUCAUUAGAAUGGAGCUCAAAGAAAGGCAAAAAUUCACUAAUGCUAUUUAACACCACUGGUAUUAAAACAUCAAAUAAUGCUAUGCAACACCACUGAAAUUAAAUCCCCAGUUUAGUAGCACAUAAUGAUAGGCUGAAUGAAAGGUAACUAAUUUAAUUUUAACUUUCAUUUAAUGUCACAUUAACAUCACUUAAAUUGCGAUUAUACUCUCACUAAAACUAAAUAGCAUUACUUUAAAACAUCAGCCCAUAUUGCAGUAAUGUGACAUUAAAUAAGAGGUACAAUUAAAUAACUCGCUUAAUUGCACCUCUCAUUGAGCUUAUCAUAUCAUACCACCUAAAUUGGUAUUGUUGUAUCACUUGUGUUAAAUAGUAUUAUUUUAAAAGUCGUAUUAUACGUACAAUUUUUGUUGACAAUAUUGGUUGAUAACAUCCUAUUUAACAUCAUCAUAUUUAUCUAUUUUAAUAAAUUAUUUUUUAUAACAUGGGCUUGAAUUUUGAAAACACGUGAUAGUCAAUCAAUAUUGUCAACAAUGUUUGUACACCUUAACUUUAUUAUUGCUCUAAAAUAUUAAUAUUCAUAACAAUCAUCACCUACUCACAAGCACCAAUUCAUUAACGUCAUGACGUCACUCCUGCAAUGGCGAAUCAGUAAUUAAUCGAAAAAACAAGCCCCUUUAAGCAACAAACUCACCACCAAACAAAAGAAACGGCUGGAAAAUGAGAGGGUAAGAGAUUCCGAUGUACGAAAACUCAAAAAGGCUGAGGACAGAGAGUGAGAGUGGCACAGUGAGUCACGGGGAUGCAGGCAGAUUAAAGGUUGGUAUACAUAAAGCAGAGACGCCCACACUCUUUCUCUCUGUAUCUACUUAUUUCUCUCUCUAUAUCUAUACAUGGCAAUCGUAGCCACGGCCACGGCGAGGCUUUUCACAAUUUCCGGCGCCACUGAUUUAUCACUUAAACCUAACUUCCCGUCACCACUCAUCCGCCGCUUGUUCCCGUCAAUCUCUGCUAGGAAACGGCAAUUUCCGGCUGUUAUUAGCUGCUUAAUUUCAGGAGUGGAUGGCGGAGGGGUCCCUGACGAGUUCGUGUUCACCAGGAAAUCAGACUUCGGCCGCGAAUUCUCUGUCAUUGCGAAUAUGUUGAAGAGGAUUGAGCCGUUGGACAAUUCGAUUAUCUCUAAGGGGGUUUCGGACUCUGCUAAAGACUCCAUGAAGCAGACUAUCUCCACUAUGCUGGGACUUUUACCGUCCGAUCAAUUUUCCGUUACCGUUAGGAUUUCCAAACACCCCCUCGAUCGCCUGAUUGUUUCCUCCAUCAUCACCGGGUAAUUAUUACUAUAUAAGUUACCAUCUCGGAUAAGAACGUAAGCUGUUAAGGGUGACCGGACCAUUUGUAAGCGUGUAGGCCGAGUUCAUACAGUAAUAUUGCUGAAUUGUGGACAAUUCAAUUGUUUUUGUGAUUUAUUGGUAUCUUUGGUGAAUUGUUUGUAUUUGUCUAGGUAUACUUUGUGGAACGCUGAGUACAGGAUUUCUUUGAUGAGGAAUUUUGAUAUAUCGCCUGACACUACAAGAAUGUCGGAGUUUCCUGUAAACUAUGGGGUUUCAGAGGUGAAGCAGGAGAGAGUAUGCGAAGCUGGUGAAGGUGGUGAUGGCGGUGGUGGUGGGGGUGGUGGUGUAGAAGAUUUGGAGAAAUUGAAUAUUCACAAUUUAGGGGAUUUGUCUCCAGAAGCAACAGGUCAUAUUCAGCAACUAGAAUUGGAGUUGUCUACCCUCAAGCAGG
RNAcentral lists this long non-coding RNA (8566 nucleotides) under Olea europaea (common olive). RNAcentral describes it as "long non-coding RNA (OEUR_LNC000532)". The record is from RNAcentral. Lineage: Eukaryota; Viridiplantae; Streptophyta; Magnoliopsida; Lamiales; Oleaceae.